UGGGGAAUAUUGCGCAAUGGGGGAAACCCUGACGCAGCAACGCCGCGUGGAGGAAGAAGGUCUUCGGAUUGUAAACUCCUGUCUUUUGGGACGAAGAAUGACGGUACCAAAGGAGGAAGCCACGGCUAACUACGUGCCAGCAGCCGCGGUAAUACGUAGGUGGCGAGCGUUGUCCGGAAUUAUUGGGCGUAAAGGGCGCGUAGGCGGCACCUUAAGUCAGAUGUGAAAACCCGAGGCUCAACUUCGGGCAUGCAUUUGAAACUGGAGUGCUAGAGUGCAGGAGAGAAAAGCGGAAUUCCUAGUGUAGCGGUGAAAUGCGUAGAUAUUAGGAGGAACACCAGUGGCGAAGGCGGCUUUCUGGACUGUAACUGGCGCUGAGGCGCGAAAGCGUGGGGAGCAAACAGGAUUAGAUACCCUGGUAGUCCACGCUGUAAACGAUGGAUACUAGGUGUGGGAGGUAUCGACCCCUUCCGUGCCGCAGUAAACGCAAUAAGUAUCCCGCCUGGGGAGUACGGCCGCAAGGUUGC
This 527-nucleotide ribosomal RNA is filed under the name uncultured Gracilibacteraceae bacterium. RNAcentral describes it as "bacterial SSU rRNA". It matches the Rfam family "Bacterial small subunit ribosomal RNA", at positions 355 to 897 of the family's 1533-position model. Lineage: Bacteria; Bacillati; Bacillota; Clostridia; Eubacteriales; Gracilibacteraceae. The record is from RNAcentral.